CUUGAUUUUCAAUCUAGGUUGGAAUUUGGGGAUGGACUUUCUUUUUCCUUGGUAGAAAAAUUAUUUCCUUUUUUGAGUCAACCGGUAGGCGUCCAGCACCGAUCAUCUGAUCAUAUUUACAACAGCUGAAACAUGUACAGAAGGAAAGCAGUGAUAGAGACUCCCCCUUGAAAUCCCAACACCACAACAAUCUACCGACAAAAUGAUCAGGAUAACCUUCAAAAAAGG
This 228-nucleotide unclassified non-coding RNA is filed under the name Hevea brasiliensis (rubber tree). The record is from RNAcentral. Lineage: Eukaryota; Viridiplantae; Streptophyta; Magnoliopsida; Malpighiales; Euphorbiaceae.